This 115-nucleotide ribosomal RNA is filed under the name Escherichia coli. The record is from RNAcentral. Lineage: Bacteria; Pseudomonadati; Pseudomonadota; Gammaproteobacteria; Enterobacterales; Enterobacteriaceae. RNAcentral also lists the same sequence under 1 other name.
CCUGGCGCCUUAGCGCGGUGGUCCCACCUGACCCCAUGCCGAACUCAGAAGUGAAACGCCGUAGCGCCGAUGGUAGUGUGGGGUCUCCCCAUGCGAGAGUAGGGAACUGCCAGGC